UUUGGCCGGAGCUUUCGAGGCUUUUUCCAGCGAAUCCACGGCGAGUUAGGGGUCAAGGCAGAAAUUCCGGCAAAACACCCACCUCCGGCGAAACCAGUCCGGCGACGCGAGGAAGAAGACGCGCGCUUGGGUAGCGCGUGUACAGGGCGCGUGAGGGCGCGUGAGAGCUCCAAAUUGAGUUCUAAAAAUUGUCACGUGUUCGUGACGUCGUGUAGAUCACCGUGGUGAAACUUGUACGAACGACGAAUGUAACCAAACUAAGCGUGAGGGUUACGAGCCGGCUACUUAUCAGUUUAAGAUAUCAGAGCUUGGUGGCUACGAGGAAUCCAGCGGUGUUCUGACAGAAUAGACAAAAAUUAGGACUCACCUUUGGGUGUUUCAUUUUAGAAAUUGUAUCUUUAAAGCUUCCGUACUGUGUAAAUGAUUACGUCACUCUCACGUGACGG
Long non-coding RNA from Pyrus x bretschneideri (Chinese white pear), 446 nucleotides. RefSeq lists it as uncharacterized. Lineage: Eukaryota; Viridiplantae; Streptophyta; Magnoliopsida; Rosales; Rosaceae. The record is from RefSeq and is a predicted model, not a curated record. The transcript has 4 exons.